Molecule: long non-coding RNA, 2103 nt
Filed under: Triticum aestivum (bread wheat)
Lineage: Eukaryota; Viridiplantae; Streptophyta; Magnoliopsida; Poales; Poaceae
Description: long non-coding RNA (TAES_LNC027707)
Source: RNAcentral
CUAUUGCAAGCAUCCACAACUACAAAAGAAGUAUUAAGGUAAACCUAACCAUAGCAUGAAACAAAUGGAUCCAAAUCAGACCCUUACGAAGCAACGCAUAAACUAGGGUUUAAGCUUCUGUCACUCUAGCAACCCAUCAUCUACUUAUUACUUCCCAAUGCCUUCCUCUAGGUCCAAAUAAUGGUGAAGUGUCAUGUAGUCGACGUUCACAUAACACCACUAGAGGAGAGACAAUGUGGCACCCCAGCUCAGAGAAAACCGGAACGCCCCAUAUUCCAGCCCAGAGAUCGAGGAGAAGCCUUCUGGAAUACGACACUGCUUAGCAUAGAACAAACCAGCCUUCUAUUAUUACACGAAUAUUAAUACAAGGUCACCAAUAUUACAAUGAAUAACGUCGGUACGGCGACACUAAGCCAUCCUCAGUUGCUCUAUGCAAGCAGCAGAACAACAGGAUGCAGCGGAAGAACUCUAGCAGCGGAACAACGACGACGGUGCUGAACUCCACUCCGCAGGGACUCUGGCUGGAACACUUAUCCUACCUCGCACGAACGGAAACCACGACAAGGAAGCAAUCAAAUCCGGCAUGACCUGCAAGCUGGCAUGACACGCCAGGUCAGUACAUUGAAUGUACUUGCAAGCUCACAAUAAUCUAGAAGCAUUCAAGACAAACAACAGCAUGGCAAUUACAGGUUAAACAAGAAUUUAACAUGAUAGCAUCAGAAUAACAUGGCAUGACCAACAUAAACAUGAUAGAACUAACUCAACAUGAACAUAGUAAUCCUGACAAUACUAGCAUGCAACAUGAUGGCACUACAGGCACCACUUAUUCUGCUCGGGCUACCUCGUAACCAACACAUGCAUCACUUACCAACCUCGAACAUCACACGAUCAUCUCAGGAUCAAAUCAAGCUUGGUAUAAACAAUACCGUAGCGAUCAGUAAACGAACACAAGGAGCUUGAUCUUUACCCACGAUUCUAGUACCACAUCACGAAUAUACAACAACUCUGUAUCCUCAAUACCACCAUGAUUCUUAUGACGAUCACAACCCGACCAACACUUGGCCCGUGAUCCUUACGACGAUCACAACCCGACCACUAAAUGGCCCGUGAUCCUUAUGGCGAUCACAACAAACUCAUCUCAUUGUUAUUAAGCACAUUAUUCUUAUUACUGUUGACUCAUGGUGUGACCUUCUCUCGACCUGGGCCCUUAUCCGCAGGCGCGGCUAUCGAUAUAUUUAAUAUACACUUUGCAGAGGUUAGUACACUGUACCCACACUACGGAACACAUGGCCUCGCAGUCCCAUUCAGGUGGACCAACGGCGUUCCGACAAAACCGUCCUACUGCCAUGACACUCUCCCGGCCACUCCGACUCACUCCUCACUGAGCUAAGUCAUGGGUGGCCCCGUGCCUACCUCCAGACACAACAACCACAGUCGUGGCCCAAAACAUAAAUGAUCCCACACGGGGAUUCACCAGCUAUAACAACUACGGGCACACAAGGUUAUGCUUGCCUACUGGGCCAGGGUACAACACGCCCAUAACCUUCCCUCGUUGGACGCACCGGCGAGAGGCACGACAAUAGACCCAGUUAGGACCUUCCCAUACCGGUAAGCGUGGUUGCACUGGUCAGCAUCAAUUCAGCGGCACCAUGACUCAGCCAACAGUUGUUCACGUUCAAUUAAAUCCGGAUAACUUGAAUGUAAAUAUGCUGAGCCAUGAUAAAAUAACAUGAUGCCAACAAUAAUACAUGAACAUGAUAUCAACAUCAUCAUGAGGGUAUCACAUAACAAUCCACCAUAUCAACAAUAAAUCAUAUCCACUGACCAUGCCAUACUAACUAGCAUGACCAUUACCAACAUCAACAUGUACCACUAGCAAUCGUAAACAUAUGAAAGGAAAUAGUAGCAGGUAUAACAUGAUCACAAAGUACAAAACAACAUAGCACAAAAGUGAACAUGCAAAUCUGAACAUCACUGGAACAACGAUAACCAUCUUUUCAACAAGCAAAUAUUUAAUAAAAAUUCAAGUUGAAAACCAUGGGUACUGCAUGACUAUCAUGCAAGUGGGUAUUGUGGCUUGCCUGGGGAUGACGAAGGCACCAG